This is a small nuclear RNA of Macaca fascicularis (crab-eating macaque), 110 nucleotides long. NCBI's taxonomy places the organism in Eukaryota, Metazoa, Chordata, Mammalia, Primates, Cercopithecidae. The record is from Ensembl.
GUGCUUGCUUGGGCAGCACAUACACUAAAAUUGGAAUGAUACAGAGAAGAUAAGCAUGGCCCCUUAAAAAAAAGAAAACAAAGGACAAAACAGAAAUAACUGUAAUCUUA